This 223-nucleotide long non-coding RNA is filed under the name Elaeis guineensis (African oil palm). Its description in RNAcentral is "long non-coding RNA (EGUI_LNC021498)". The record is from RNAcentral. Lineage: Eukaryota; Viridiplantae; Streptophyta; Magnoliopsida; Arecales; Arecaceae.
GUUAUAAACAAAUAGUUAAAUGCUUGACGGAUAUUACAAACCAUAUUUAAUUUGAUCCUGACGUGAAUCGAAAUAUUUGUGUUAGGUUCAAUCAUACUCAAUCUUGACCAAUCCUAAUGAAUUGUUGGAUCUAAAAAAAAUCUUUUUCAUGGCCCUACCCAACCAACGCAAUCAGCCAAUAGAUCAAGUUCAUAUCCAAAAUCAAGACCCGAGUAUGAAAUGG